AUUCACAGAAAAGGGAUACUGCACAGGAGAACUACACCAAGCGGAGAUUGCGGUUUAUGCGUUGCGUUUUACGUACGACAGAUUUGACUUCAGAGGAAGAACAUCAGAAGAUGGCAGAUAAUACACAAACGCCUGAGCUAGAGAGGGAAAAUCACCUGUUGGCCUGGCACAGUUUAAGUCAGCGGCGCUAAAUCCUGGAAAUCUGCCUUCCCGUGGAGCUUUAACUGCAAUCAAACAUACCUGAAGCAGCUAAUCAGGGCCCUUUGGUUCAUCUGAGUUUAACGUCAACAAGUCUGUUCAAACUCUGAAAAGCAAACGAUUGAGUCGGCCAAAUCUGUUCCAAUCUUUACAUUUCACAUUGUUGGGUAAGUAGGGAAAAUUAUAGAUGCAUUUGAUGUUCUUUUAAGCUGCAAUCAAAGAGCUUUAAUAGAUCAAACUCACAAACUCUCCCAGGACAACAUCAAGGUUCGCUGUUAGGCUGAUCAUCCUGUGGAGCACCUUCAUGUAUCCCUCAGUACUUUAUAAAAAAGUGAAGUGGAUUUAAAGUUCAUAAUUAUGAAUGUGUUGUCCUUAUGUUUGCUUAUUCACAUGCUUCAAAACAAUGAUGAAAUUCAAAUUAAAAUGUACAGAUUCAAAACUUAGCCUCUUAAUUCCACCAUAAAGGAUCCGUGAUUUUCAUUACAUCACUCUGCAUGUUAGAUUUUCCUUCCAUUCAAAUGCAAUUACAUAAAUAGACACCAAAGCUGCUGCUGAAACUGGUUUUCUAUAUGAUGAAUGGCAUGUUUUUUCAAUAUAAAAAGG
Non-coding RNA from Danio rerio (zebrafish), 801 nucleotides. The record is from Ensembl. Lineage: Eukaryota; Metazoa; Chordata; Actinopteri; Cypriniformes; Danionidae.